This 254-nucleotide ribosomal RNA is filed under the name uncultured bacterium. Its description in RNAcentral is "partial 16S ribosomal RNA". It matches the Rfam family "Bacterial small subunit ribosomal RNA", at positions 524 to 776 of the family's 1533-position model. The record is from RNAcentral.
UACGUAGGCAGCGAGCGUUGUUCGGAGUUACUGGGCGUAAAGGGUGUGCAGGCGGUUGUUUAAGUUUGGUGUGAAAUCUCCCGGCUCAACUGGGAGGGUGCGCCGAAUACUGAAUGACUUCGAGUGCGGGAGAGGAGAGUGGAAUUCCUGGUGUAGCGGUGAAAUGCGUAGAUAUCGAUAGGAACACUCGUGGCGAAGGCGAGCUACUGGACAACAUCUGACGCUGAGGCUCGAAGGCCAGGGGAGCAAAAGGG